Molecule: long non-coding RNA, 208 nt
Organism: Triticum dicoccoides
Lineage: Eukaryota; Viridiplantae; Streptophyta; Magnoliopsida; Poales; Poaceae
Exons: 3
Source: RefSeq, a predicted model, not a curated record
CCAGGUUCUUUAAGGAAUCGAGCGACGAGGAGAGGGAACACGCGGAGAUGCUUAUGGAGUACCAGAACAGACGUGGAGGGUGGGUGAGGCUCCAGUCUAUCGUGACCCCAUUGACAGAGUUCGACCACUCUGAGAAAGGCGAUGCUCUGUAUGGUGCCCGGUUUGUGCUCGCUACCGAAGGAGCUCCAUGUUGAAGAAGAUUGAAGAG